This is a long non-coding RNA of Entelurus aequoreus (snake pipefish), 1639 nucleotides long. RefSeq lists it as uncharacterized. The transcript is spliced from 12 exons. The record is from RefSeq and is a predicted model, not a curated record. NCBI's taxonomy places the organism in Eukaryota, Metazoa, Chordata, Actinopteri, Syngnathiformes, Syngnathidae.
GUCAGCCUUGAAAGUGUUUCUCGGAGCAGCAGGAAGUCAACCGUUUUUUACACGACGCGAGACGGAAACCCGGGGUUGGCUAACUGCAACUUUUAAACACAACAUACUGGAAUUGGAAUGUGAAAGUUUCCCGCGUGAAGCCGUGGAGCUCGAGAUCCUGUUUACUGUGGACUAGCUGUGUGUGACGCCAUGUUGUUUUUGUUUCCAUUACAAAAAAAAAGCUCCACCGUCUCGCCGAGUGCCAGCAAGAGUCAUGAGUACUUGUCAACUCUACUCCUCAACUGGAGAUAACUUUCUAGCACCUCACCAUGGGGAAGGAUGUAUUCAUACGCCUUCACCAGCACAUGCAUUAAACAUGCAGAGAGUUACACAAGUUCUUACCACCUUGGGGCACCAUUCAGGGUGCCUUUUCAUCUGAUUAAAUUUAUAAUGAACAGGGACAUUGCGGUUGUCCCAAGUGGAUGGUAUGAUGAUAGGAUGGUUUUCUGGCCCAGCUAUAAAAACACCGACAGAAUUGAAAGGGCCGCUUUAAAUGAGGAGCAGCAUGAGCCAAACUGGCCAAGAUUUGACGUUUCUGUUGUCCGAACUUGUGGUAUGCAAAUUCAUAAUCUUCUUGUUUAAAAAUAACGUCAUAGUUGCUUCUCUUUAUGCUUGGAAUAACCUAUUGUGUCUAUUUUCUGACCAGGUCUCUUGUAAGAGAGAGACCUGAUUUAUCAUCAUCAAUAAUAAUAAUAUUCUGUUCAGCUCUACAGCUAAUUUGAAACUCAUGUUCAUUUUAACAUAUUCAAUUUUAGAGAACUACAAAGACGCAUUAAAAAUAAUGCAACAAUAUGGAAAGGGCUGCAACACCUCAGACCUGCAAUCUGAGGCAGAGAACGAGGAGCUGCCAGAAAAAAGGAACAGGAAGCCAGUGUAAGUGUGUUCCGUCUUGUUUUUGUCAUGUUUCUACAGUAAUAGGAAGGUUAUUUCCGGUAGCAUUCAAAAAUAGACCAGAGAUGCUUGUACUAUAUGUAUAUUUUGCAAUUUUGGUAUUGCAAUAAUCCUAAUGAUAUGGUUAGCGAAGAAGACCCGGGAAAUAGUGACCUCACAUCUCUGGGUUUGGCAAGCCAAUUGCACAGGCAGACUCCACCGUCUCGCCGAGUGCCAGCAAGAGUCAUGAGUACUUGUCAACUCUACUCCUCAACUGGAGAUAACUUUCUAGCACCUCACCAUGGGGAAGGACGCAUUCAUAUGCCUUCACCAGCACCUGCAUUAAACAUGCAGAGAGUUACACAAGGAACGGCAGUCCCUCCUCGACUCCCUCCACCCCCCUCACCAGCAGCCCUCAACAUGUGGCAGACAGAGGAGCCUGGAUCCAGCCUGGCCUACAGGCCAACAUGGGGAACGAAUGGCCGACAACAAUUCCUGCUCUGCGCCUGAGGUAAUCCACAUCCUUAGCCUGCUGGAAACUAUUAAGCACAACCAAGACCAGCUGAUUGCGAAGGUGCUGUGAGUAAAAAUGUGUUGACAAGGUCAGCCACGGACGCUGAGGUCACCAAACACGCCAUCAGGUGGUUCAACUUGGCGGGGGAUCGGGCAACGAGGAGACGAGUCCCGCUUCCACCUCCUCAGGAGGAAUAGAGAUGUAUAUGUAUAAAUA